CGGCGAGCGGCGGACGGGUGAGUAAUGCCUGGGAAAUUGCCCAGUCGAGGGGGAUAACAGUUGGAAACGACUGCUAAUACCGCAUACGCCCUACGGGGGAAAGCAGGGGACCUUCGGGCCUUGCGCGAUUGGAUAUGCCCAGGUGGGUAUUAGCUAGUUGGUGAGGUAGUGGCUCACCAAGGCGACGAUCCCUAGCUGGUCUGAGAGGAUCACCAGCCGCACUGGAACUGAGACACGCUCCAGACUCCUACGGGAGGCAGCAGUGGGGAAUAUUGCACAAUGGGGGAAACCCUGAUGCAGCCUUGCCGCGUGUGUGAAGAAGGCCUUCGGGUUGUAAAGCAUUUUCGGCGAGGAGGAAAGGUCAGUAGCUAAUAUCUGCUGAGUGUGACGUUACUCGCAGAAGAAUGACCGGCUAACUCCGUGCCAGCAGCCGCGGUAAUACGGAGGGUGCAAGCGUUAAUCGGAAUUACUGGGCGUAAGCGCACGCAGGCGGUUGGAUCAUUUAGAUGUGAACCCCCGGGCUCAACCUG
RNAcentral lists this ribosomal RNA (530 nucleotides) under Aeromonas sp. RS144. RNAcentral's name for it is "bacterial SSU rRNA". It matches the Rfam family "Bacterial small subunit ribosomal RNA", at positions 89 to 616 of the family's 1533-position model. Lineage: Bacteria; Pseudomonadati; Pseudomonadota; Gammaproteobacteria; Aeromonadales; Aeromonadaceae. The record is from RNAcentral.